This 347-nucleotide unclassified non-coding RNA is filed under the name soil metagenome. RNAcentral's name for it is "partial contains 5.8S ribosomal RNA, internal transcribed spacer 2, and large subunit ribosomal RNA". The stretch from base 1 to 120 matches the Rfam family "5.8S ribosomal RNA", at positions 35 to 154 of the family's 154-position model. The record is from RNAcentral.
GAUGAAGAACGCAGCGAAAUGCGAUAAGUAAUGUGAAUUGCAGAAUUCAGUGAAUCAUCGAGUCUUUGAACGCACAUUGCGCCCCCUGGUAUUCCGGGGGGCAUGCCUGUCCGAGCGUCAUUGCCGCCCUCAAGCACGGCUUGUGUGUUGGGCCCCCGCCCCCCGGCUUCGGGGGGCGGGCCCGAAAGGCAGCGGCGGCACCGCGUCCGGUCCUCGAGCGUAUGGGGCUUCGUCACCCGCUCUGUAGGCCCGGCCGGCGCCCGCCGGCGACCCCAAUCAAUCUUUCCAGGUUGACCUCGGAUCAGGUAGGGAUACCCGCUGAACUUAAGCAUAUCAUAAGCGGAGGA